This 765-nucleotide ribosomal RNA is filed under the name uncultured Streptococcus sp. RNAcentral's name for it is "bacterial SSU rRNA". It matches the Rfam family "Bacterial small subunit ribosomal RNA", at positions 28 to 776 of the family's 1533-position model. The record is from RNAcentral. Lineage: Bacteria; Bacillati; Bacillota; Bacilli; Lactobacillales; Streptococcaceae.
GACGAACGCUGGCGGCGUGCCUAAUACAUGCAAGUAGAACGCUGAAGAGAGGAGCUUGCUCUUCUUGGAUGAGUUGCGAACGGGUGAGUAACGCGUAGGUAACCUGCCUGGUAGCGGGGGAUAACUAUUGGAAACGAUAGCUAAUACCGCAUAAAAUUGAUUAUUGCAUGAUAAUCCAUUGAAAGGUGCAACUGCACCACUACCAGAUGGACCUGCGUUGUAUUAGCUAGUUGGUGGGGUAACGGCUCACCAAGGCGACGAUACAUAGCCGACCUGAGAGGGUGAUCGGCCACACUGGGACUGAGACACGGCCCAGACUCCUACGGGAGGCAGCAGUAGGGAAUCUUCGGCAAUGGACGGAAGUCUGACCGAGCAACGCCGCGUGAGUGAAGAAGGUUUUCGGAUCGUAAAGCUCUGUUGUAAGAGAAGAACGAGUGUGAGAGUGGAAAGUUCACACUGUGACGGUAUCUUACCAGAAAGGGACGGCUAACUACGUGCCAGCAGCCGCGGUAAUACGUAGGUCCCGAGCGUUGUCCGGAUUUAUUGGGCGUAAAGCGAGCGCAGGCGGUUAGAUAAGUCUGAAGUUAAAGGCUGUGGCUUAACCAUAGUACGCUUUGGAAACUGUUUAACUUGAGUGCAAGAGGGGAGAGUGGAAUUCCAUGUGUAGCGGUGAAAUGCGUAGAUAUAUGGAGGAACACCGGUGGCGAAAGCGGCUCUCUGGCUUGUAACUGACGCUGAGGCUCGAAAGCGUGGGGAGCAAACAGG